RNAcentral lists this ribosomal RNA (253 nucleotides) under uncultured bacterium. RNAcentral describes it as "partial 16S ribosomal RNA". It matches the Rfam family "Bacterial small subunit ribosomal RNA", at positions 524 to 776 of the family's 1533-position model. The record is from RNAcentral.
UACGGAGGGUGCAAGCGUUAAUCGGAAUUACUGGGCGUAAAGCGCACGCAGGUGGCUGAGUCAGUCGAUUGUGAAAGCCCUGGGCUUAACCUGGGAAUUGCAGUCGAUACUACUCAGCUAGAGUAUGGGAGAGGGUAGUGGAAUUCCCGGUGUAGCGGUGAAAUGCGUAGGUAUCGGGAGGAACAUCAGUGGCGAAGGCGGCUACCUGGGCCAAUACUGACACUCAGGUGCGACAGCGUGGGGAGCAAACAGG